GACAGAGGUGCCGAGCGUUAGGCGGAAUCACUGGGCGUAAAGGGUGCGUAGGCGGGUCUUUAAGUCAGGGGUGAAAUCCUGGAGCUCAACUCCAGAACUGCCUUUGAUACUGAAGAUCUUGAGUUCGGGAGAGGUGAGUGGAACUGCGAGUGUAGAGGUGAAAUUCGUAGAUAUUCGCAAGAACACCAGUGGCGAAGGCGGCUCACUGGCUCGUAUCUGACGCUCAGGCGCGAUAGCGUGGGGAUCAAACAGG
RNAcentral lists this ribosomal RNA (253 nucleotides) under uncultured bacterium. RNAcentral's name for it is "partial 16S ribosomal RNA". It matches the Rfam family "Bacterial small subunit ribosomal RNA", at positions 524 to 776 of the family's 1533-position model. The record is from RNAcentral.